GGCUCAGAACGAACGCUGGCGGCAAGCUUAACACAUGCAAGUCGAACGGAUUAUCUUUUAUAGCUUGCUAUAAAAGAUAAUUAGUGGCAGACGGGUGAGUAAUGCAUAGGAAUCUACCUAGUAGUAUGGGAUAGCCACUAGAAAUGGUGGGUAAUACUGUAUAAUCCCUGCGGGGGAAAGAUUUAUCGCUAUUAGAUGAGCCUAUGUUAGAUUAGCUAGUUGGUAGGGUAAAGGCCUACCAAGGCGAUGAUCUAUAGCUGGUCUGAGAGGAUGAUCAGCCACACUGGAACUGAGAUACGGUCCAGACUCCUACGGGAGGCAGCAGUGGGGAAUAUUGGACAAUGGGCGCAAGCCUGAUCCAGCUAUGCCGCGUGAGUGAGGAAGGCCUUAGGGUUGUAAAACUCUUUCAGUAGGGAAGAUAAUGACGGUACCUACAGAAGAAGUCCCGGCAAACUCCGUGCCAGCAGCCGCGGUAAUACGGAGGGGGCAAGCGUUGUUCGGAAUUAUUGGGCGUAAAGGGCAUGUAGGCGGUUCGGUAAGUUAAAGGUGAAAUGCCAGGGCUUAACCCUGGAGCUGCUUUUAAUACUGCCAGACUAGAGUCCGGGAGAGGAUAGCGGAAUUCCUA
Molecule: ribosomal RNA, 625 nt
Filed under: uncultured Anaplasma sp.
Lineage: Bacteria; Pseudomonadati; Pseudomonadota; Alphaproteobacteria; Rickettsiales; Anaplasmataceae
Description: bacterial SSU rRNA
Rfam family: Bacterial small subunit ribosomal RNA
Source: RNAcentral